GACGAACGCUGGCGGCGUGCUUAACACAUGCAAGUCGAACGAAGUGGCGAACGGGUGAGUAACGCGUAAUCAACCUGCCCUUCAGAGGGUGACAACAGUUGGAAACGACUGCUAAUACCGCAUACGGAAGGAGGGGAUUGCGUCUGAUUAGCUAGUGGGGGGGGGAACGGCCCAACAAGGCGAUGAUCAGUAGCGGGUCUGAGAGGAUGAACGGCCACACUGGGACUGAGAGACGGCGCAGACGCCUACGGGGGGCAGAAGUGGGGAAUCUUCCGCAAGGGAGGAAAGACUGACGGAGAAACGCCGCGUGAGUGAUGAGGGCGUUCGGGUUGUAAAGAUCUGUUUAGCGGGACGCGGUACCGGAAUAGAAAGCCACGGCUAAAUACGUGCCAGCAGCCGCGGUAAUUC
Molecule: ribosomal RNA, 408 nt
Filed under: uncultured bacterium
Lineage: Bacteria
Description: partial 16S ribosomal RNA
Rfam family: Bacterial small subunit ribosomal RNA
Source: RNAcentral